AAAGGGGGGGGGGGGAAGGACUCAAGGAGAGGAAAUGCAACUGUCAGAAAUCGGGACCGCCAGAUUUCCUGGUGAACCUGCCUCUGUCUGAGAGAGUGUCUCACCGAACGGUAGCUAAGAUCUCAGCAGAACCGCGCGGAAGUGAGGAGUCGCGGCCAAAGGCGCCCACCGGAGCCUCCUCUCCGGGCCGGACCCCAGCCCGAGCCGCGAAAGGAGCCCCCCGCCCGGAUCACAGCUGCUGCAGCUGCCGCUGAAAUUCGCUGUGGCCGCUGCCUCUUCCCGCUUUAAUCCCAGACCUCCAGUCAUUGGGCAGCUCCUCAGAGGCAAGAAGUCAACACCAUGGCAACCCGACAAGCCUAUCAAAUCACCGGCUGGCGUGACAGCAGCAACACUGCAGGCUGGAGUGGGCUGGGCAGAGGAGCCGAGUGGCCACUACGCUCAGGUUGCCAUGACAACGAGGAUUGGACAAAUACAGUUUGCUGGCACCUAUAAUGGUGGAAACAGGAUGUCAGAGAGCUCUCCUUGCUUUGUUUGUGGGAAGAGAAAUCGCGUU
RNAcentral lists this long non-coding RNA (553 nucleotides) under Felis catus (domestic cat). RNAcentral's name for it is "lncRNA (ENSFCAG00000048201.1)". Lineage: Eukaryota; Metazoa; Chordata; Mammalia; Carnivora; Felidae. The record is from RNAcentral.